Molecule: ribosomal RNA, 253 nt
Filed under: uncultured bacterium
Lineage: Bacteria
Description: partial 16S ribosomal RNA
Rfam family: Bacterial small subunit ribosomal RNA
Source: RNAcentral
UACGAAGGGGGCUAGCGUUGCUCGGAAUCGCUGGGCGUAAAGGGCGCGUAGGCGGAUCUUUAAGUCGGGGGUGAAAGCCCAGGGCUCAACCCUGGAAUUGCCUUCGAUACUGGAGAUCUUGAGACCGGAAGAGGUAAGUGGAACUGCGAGUGUAGAGGUGAAAUUCGUAGAUAUUCGCAAGAACACCAGUGGCGAAGGCGGCUUACUGGUCCGGUUCUGACGCUGAGGCUCGAAAGCGUGGGGAUCAAACAGG